GUGCCAGCAGCCGCGGUAAUUCCGACACAGGGAGUUUUCCAUUUGGUUGCUGCAGUUAAAAAGUUCGUAGUUUACUGACUCUUUCACUAUAAGCAAAGCCGAAUGCUCCAAGUUUUUUAGCAGUAUUUAUAGUAUGAAAUUAUAGCGCGGCAUUGAACGUAGUUUGGGGUACUCGAUAGGGACAGGUGAAAUAGGAUGAUCUAUCGAAGACCCACGGUAGCGGAGGCUCCCAACGAAGUCCAAGUGUCACGAUCAAGAACUAAAGUCAGGGGAUAGACGACGAUUAGACACCGUUUUAUUCCUGACCCUAAACGAUGUCGCCUAGCUGAUGGGAUUUUUUUCAUUUGCCAAGAGAAAUCGUAAGGUUUCAGACUCUGGGGGAAGUAUGAUCGCAAGGUUGAAACUUGAAGGGAUUGACGGAGAGGUACCACCAGACGUGGAGUCUGCGGCUCAAUUUGACUCAACACGCAAACAUUACUAGGCCCAGAAGCUUUGAGGAUUGACAGAUGAGUGAUCUUUCAUGAUUAAGUUGUUGGUGGUGCAUGGCCGUUCUUAGUCCGUGAUUUAAAUUGUCUGCUUUAUUGCGAUAACGAACGAGACCUCUAUCAGAUUUAUUAUCUGAGACUGCUAGUGAUGAACUAGAGGAAGGCAGAGGCAAAAACAGGUCUGUGAUGCCCUUAGAAGCCCUAGGCCGCACGCGUACUACAAUGGCAGGUUCAUCGUGUUGCUUCCCUGAAAAUGGUGGCAGUUCAUUAAAACUUGUCGUGGUUAGGACUGAAGGUUGAAAUUAUCCUUCACGAAUGAGGAAUGUCUAGUAAGUGUAGGUUAUGAAUCUACGCUGAUUACGUCCCUACCCCUUGUACACACCGUCCCGUC
Molecule: ribosomal RNA, 876 nt
Filed under: Spironucleus sp. F54-06-3
Lineage: Eukaryota; Fornicata; Diplomonadida; Hexamitidae
Description: bacterial SSU rRNA
Rfam family: Eukaryotic small subunit ribosomal RNA
Source: RNAcentral